This is a long non-coding RNA of Cyanistes caeruleus (blue tit), 2602 nucleotides long. RefSeq lists it as uncharacterized. Lineage: Eukaryota; Metazoa; Chordata; Aves; Passeriformes; Paridae. The record is from RefSeq and is a predicted model, not a curated record.
UUUCACACCUUCCAGUGUUUCAACAGCUGGAUUUCCAGUUACUGAAGGUAUACAGAGGUCUGUUCUAAGCUGUUCUGUCUCAGUUUUUAGCACGGGCAAACUGGUUCUGAUUGGGUGUCAUGGUGAAAAAUUCAGUUGAAGGGUUAAACAAACCUGGCUCAUGAUGAUUCCCAAACAAGUUUUGUUGUUAUGGAAGGACAGCAGGGCCAGGGAGCUCCUGGAGCGGGGCCAGCGGAGGCUGCGCAGCUGAGGAAGGGCCUGGAGCAUCUCAGUGGCCAGGAAAGGCUGCGGGAGCUGGGGCUGCUCAGCCUGGAGAGGAGCCCCAGCUGAGAGGGGCCCUCAGGCCUGGCUGGCCCUGGCUGCAGGGAGGGGCAGAGCAGGGCCCGGGCUCUGCUCCGGGGCCCAGCAAUGGCACCAGAGCCACGGGCAGGGCCUGAGCCCAGCAAUUCCCCUGCCCAGGAGGCAGAGCUUCUGCCCUGGGCACUGCCCAGCCCUGAGCAGAUUGUCCAGAGAGCCUGGGGAGUCUCCUCCCUGGGGAUAUUCCAGAGCCCUCUGGACACAGUCCUGGGCCCUGGGCUCUGGGAUGGCCCUGCUGGAGCGGGGAGGUGGCACCACAUGAGCCACUCUGGGCCCUUCCAGCCUGACCCAUCCUGGCACUCUGUAAUAGUGUGUUUGGAAUUGUCUAACAAAAAGACUUUAGGACUGUUUUAAUAGCUGGUUUCAGUGAUCAGAAAGAGCUGUGGGCUUGUUUCACAGAAUCACAGAAUGAUUUGGGCUGGAAGUGACCUUAAAAUUCAUCUUGGUCCAACUGUAUGGAAGGAAGGUUUGAUGGCCAUAUGGGCCAUUCCCUGCCUGAAGAGUUGGACUCGGUGAUCAUUGUGGGUCCCUUCCAACGCAGAAUAUUCCAUGAUUCUGAGAUUAAUUUGCUGAUUGUUACUGUCUCUAUUCAUGCCAGGAGCAAACCAAGUCACUGCUCUAGUUGUAUGAAACAAUACUUCUUCCUUUUGAUAGAACUGUUUCCAGCCAAAGAAAAUAACUUCUGUAAUUUAUAUUUAUUGAUCCUGGAUAGUUUUGGAAUUACAGAAUACCCCCAUUGAAGAGCAAACAAGGAGAUUUCAGUCUGGAAGUGGAGAAACACGGCUCAGGCAGAAACCAGGAGAGGAGUCCUAAAAACACCAGAGCCCUGAUGAACACAACUUCCCUGGGGUACAUCUCCCAGAGUAGAUAUAAAUUCCUCUUUGGAAAUUUCUAAUAGCUGAUUUUGGAAGUGAUUGAUGGUAAAAAAGUUUGAAUAACAUGAUCUUUAGGAAAUGUCACAGGGCAAGUUCAGAAAUCUGAAAAGUGAUAAAGAAGUUAAUACUUUUAAGUGGGAAAUAUGACCUACCUUAGAGCUACAGAGAAGCCUGUCAUGUGAAACUGUGUUUUUAUGUGUUCCAAAGCCACCUUCCUUUAUAUGACAAGUUUAGAAACUGUUUCAUUUUCUGGAGGGGAAAAAAACCCCUGGACAAUUUCUAAAUGAACUGGUGAGACAUGAUUGCAAAUGAGCUUGGAUAUCCUACAGAGAUGUGAGUCUGGUUCAUAGGGAUGCCAUGUCAGCAGGAGCUGGAAAAUCCAAUCAUACAUCAUUAAGGGAAGAGAAGCGAUGCCUUCUCCAAUUUGUUUAUAGGAAAAUGUGCCAGACUCUGACCAUCUCAGUCCCUCAGCACACAAAAAAAAUCAUGGAACAGAAGAGGAACAAAGAUAGGCCUCAAUCACAUCCAGAUUUGACAACUCUAGGGUAAGAGCUGAGUUCUUGGCUAUUCCAAGCUGAGUUUGAAGAAAAUUAACAGGGUCCCAUGGCAAUCUGAUUCUUCUCACACAGUGCCUACUAAAAAUUACCUUGAACCUCUCUCACGUUCUCAAACCAAAAGAGCUUUAUAAUUUCUUAAUAAUAAAAUUAAAUUCAGCCACGUGCAAGGUUUCCCAUAACCUUAAUAAAAGCCAUACACAGCCAGAUGGUGUUGAUAAUAAAAAUCAGUGUCACUCAUGGAGGUAUAUGGGGGAUGCACCAGAGGGAAACAGAACUAGGGCAAAAAUCUUAUGCAGGGAGAUAUAAAUUCUGUUAUUCCACCUUCACCUCCUUUCACACCUUAGGGGUUGUCCUUCCAAGCCUUUCCUCUCACUUCCAAGCUACUAUUGUAUUUGAAUAGGGGAAAAAUAAAAUAAUACAUUAAAAGAAAGUUCAUGUGAAAGGCAGGUUGUUUUGACAUUUUGACUUUUAAUGGGAAAAAGUUUGGGGAAAAGUUUGCAUUCAGAAUUUCUACUGAACAGGAAUUUUUUGUUAUCAGAUCUUCAGACAAUUAGAGGGUUUCUGUUGUAAUAAAUUUUGCUGAUGUGAUAGUGAGCAAGGCAGAUGCUGAAGUUGCAGAAUUAAAAUGCAACAUUUUUGUUUCAUUUUAAAUUGAUUGAUAUUUUUUUUCCUGCACAGGAUCACAGAAUAUCCUGAGUUGGAAGGGACCCACAGGAUCAUCUAGUUCAACCCCUGGUCUUGCACAGACACCACAAAAUUCAACAAUCCCACCCUGUGCACCCCUGGGAGCAUUGUCCAAACACUCCUGGAGCU